This 505-nucleotide ribosomal RNA is filed under the name uncultured bacterium. RNAcentral describes it as "partial 16S ribosomal RNA". It matches the Rfam family "Bacterial small subunit ribosomal RNA", at positions 28 to 523 of the family's 1533-position model. The record is from RNAcentral.
GAUGAACGCUAGCUACAGGCUUAACACAUGCAAGUCGAGGGGUAACGAGAGGAAAGCUUGCUUUCCUUGUCGACGACCGGCGCACGGGUGAGUAACGCGUAUCCAACCUGCCCCCAACUAGGGAAUAACCUUGCGAAAGUAAGACUAAUACCCUAUAAUUUCCUCAGAUGUCAUCUGACGAGGAAUAAAGAUUUAUCGGUUGUGGAUGGGGAUGCGUCUGAUUAGCUUGUUGGCGGGGUAGCGGCCCACCAAGGCAACGAUCAGUAGGGGUUCUGAGAGGAAGGUCCCCAACAUUGGAACUGAGACACGGUCCAAACUCCUACGGGAGGCAGCAGUGAGGAAUAUUGGUCAAUGGGCGGAAGCCUGAACCAGCCAAGUAGCGUGCAGGAUGACGGCCCUAUGGGUUGUAAACUGCUUUAUACAGGAAUAAAGUUAGCCACGUGUGGUUAUUUGUAGGUACUGUAUGAAUAAGGACCGGCUAAUUCCGUGCCAGCCGCCGCAGUAA